UGUAUAACAGUGCUACCUCCCACUCCAUGGUUUGGCAUUAAAUACAAAUUUGGGGUUGGGGAUGGGGAGAAGGGAGA
Molecule: microRNA precursor, 77 nt
Filed under: Erinaceus europaeus (western European hedgehog)
Lineage: Eukaryota; Metazoa; Chordata; Mammalia; Eulipotyphla; Erinaceidae
Description: miRNA (ENSEEUG00000022153.1)
Source: RNAcentral